RNAcentral lists this unclassified non-coding RNA (412 nucleotides) under Hevea brasiliensis (rubber tree). Lineage: Eukaryota; Viridiplantae; Streptophyta; Magnoliopsida; Malpighiales; Euphorbiaceae. The record is from RNAcentral.
UUCUUGCAGUUGAGUUGAUGCCUGGAAAGCAACCAUUGGAACAUGAAUAACAAGAAUAAGAUGGAACAAUUGACAAAGCCGCUGAAAUCAGAAGAAAACCUAAUUAAGGUGCUAUGAAGAACAAGAAGAAUUAUUGAGGUUAAAGCAAUUUAUAAAUAUUCCCCGAAUGUACUUCAACUUGACUUAUGCUCAAAUAGGAGGAAAAAUAGGAGAUAAGUAACUUAUUUUGCACAUUCUUGAGAUAUCAUGUUUAUGGUUAUGCAAAAUAAAAUAUGAUUGCACUACCUAACAAACAAAUUUUACCUUAUAAAGGAAAGUAGGUGAGGGGCAUGAAUAAACAAAGCACAAAAGUGAAAAACUGCAAUGCAAUGAUAUUUUAGCGGACAUCAUACCUCAUAGUCACCACCUCAAU